Molecule: long non-coding RNA, 846 nt
Filed under: Monodelphis domestica (gray short-tailed opossum)
Lineage: Eukaryota; Metazoa; Chordata; Mammalia; Didelphimorphia; Didelphidae
Description: lncRNA (ENSMODG00000035431.2)
Source: RNAcentral
AGGGAAAUGCAGCCUCCCUAGCACUGCAUUGGGUGAAUUUAAGACCAAUCCCAUAUAAGGUAGUAGAGGGUGUGGUCCCUCUCCUCACAGGAUUGGUCCAUUUAAGACCCCUCCCAUACCAGGAAGGAGGGGGGAGGGACCCCUGGGGCAUACUGGGGAACGCAGUUCCCUUGGCCACAAUAUUUUAAAACCCACACUUGAUCUAGCUUGAUCUCUUUAGGGAGUUCUUUGUAGGAACUGGGAGAGAGGGCUACAGCUGGCAGUGUGCACUGAUACUCUUAUUCAAAGUUCACAUCACUUGGACUUUGAGUGUUUUGGGACUACCAGGUAGAAGCUCAGUAGGAGAGACUGUGGGAGAUUGCCUUGGAAUGUCUUUUCUGCUUGAUUCACUGGGGAUAGUCACUAUGAAGGAGACCAUAAGGACCCAGCAGAGAAGGGCUCCCAUUCUUCCGGUUCUUGAAUAACAACACCUGCAGCUCGUGUAGACAUGGGACUUCAAGCUGUGCACAUUGUCCAAUAAGUUUGUGGAUGGAAAGAGGGAAACAAGGAAGGAAAGAAGGAAACAAGCAUAUAUUAGUACCUACUACGUGGUCAGUCCUCAGCAAGCACUUUAUAAUGUUAUUUCAGUUGAUCCUUACAACAGCUCUGGGCCUAUCUAUAUCACAAAAACUGGAUGAGAUCAGACUCAUGAACCUCAUGUCUUGAUAAUGAUCCUGAAGGAUGAUUUAGAUUAUGAAAGACAAGGCACCUUGGUCAGCCUUGGCUGCCCAGAUGUCCAUGAUUAAGCCAUAGAACCUCCAGGGUCUCCAGGCAACUCUCUACCAAUCUCAAUUACAAAAGAGGGAC